UGCAGAAUCCCGCGAACCAUCGAGUCUUUGAACGCAAGUUGCGCCUGAGGCCUCCCGACUAAGGGCACGCUUGCCUUGGUGUCACGC
RNAcentral lists this ribosomal RNA (87 nucleotides) under Alphonsea sp. US:3530833. Its description in RNAcentral is "partial 5.8S ribosomal RNA". It matches the Rfam family "5.8S ribosomal RNA", at positions 73 to 154 of the family's 154-position model. From Rfam's summary of the family: 5.8S ribosomal RNA (5.8S rRNA) is a component of the large subunit of the eukaryotic ribosome. It is transcribed by RNA polymerase I as part of the 45S precursor that also contains 18S and 28S rRNA. Lineage: Eukaryota; Viridiplantae; Streptophyta; Magnoliopsida; Magnoliales; Annonaceae. The record is from RNAcentral.